CUCCCGGUGGCCAAGCUGGUUAAGGCGCGAGACUGUAAUGAGUUACCUCAGAGUUAUCUUGAGAUCGGGCGUUCGACUCGCCCCCGGGAGA
This 91-nucleotide transfer RNA is filed under the name Lizanozyma spartinae. RNAcentral's name for it is "Scheffersomyces spartinae tRNA-Tyr". It matches the Rfam family "tRNA". Rfam says of the family: Transfer RNA (tRNA) molecules are approximately 80 nucleotides in length. Lineage: Eukaryota; Fungi; Ascomycota; Pichiomycetes; Serinales; Debaryomycetaceae. The record is from RNAcentral.